UUUUGGUCGUUUAUCUUUGUUGUGGCAUUCCUGAUUUGCAUAAUGUUAAUUAUUCAAACUUUGGCAUUUAAUUGUGACAAUCACGAAGAUUGUACGUUGCUUUGUUACGACACAAUAGGAACGUGCGCUAAUGGAAGAUGUACUUGUACACGUUAACAAUAUUGGAUUCUGUAAAGGAUAAUCAUGUAUACUGAUUAAAUUAUUCUUAAAUCUU
This is a long non-coding RNA of Centruroides sculpturatus (bark scorpion), 214 nucleotides long. RefSeq lists it as uncharacterized. Lineage: Eukaryota; Metazoa; Arthropoda; Arachnida; Scorpiones; Buthidae. The record is from RefSeq and is a predicted model, not a curated record. The transcript has 2 exons.